GGGUCAGUAGGUUGGUCGUGCCACCGGUACGUACUGGUCUCACUGAUUCCUCCUUCCUGAAGAACCGUAAUGCCAUUAAUUUGGUGUUGCGGGGAAACAGGACUGUUACUUUGAAAAAAUUAGAGUGUUUAAAGCAAGCUAACGCUUGAAUACAUUAGCGUGGAAUAAUGAAAUAGUACGAUCGAUCCUAUUUUGUUGGUUUCUAGGAUUGACGUA
RNAcentral lists this ribosomal RNA (216 nucleotides) under Glomeromycotina sp. RNAcentral describes it as "partial small subunit ribosomal RNA". The stretch from base 40 to 216 matches the Rfam family "Eukaryotic small subunit ribosomal RNA", at positions 686 to 864 of the family's 1831-position model. Lineage: Eukaryota; Fungi; Glomeromycota. The record is from RNAcentral.